CAGUCGCCGCGGGAAUACGUAGGUGGCAAGCGUUGUCCGGAAUUAUUGGGCGUAAAGGGCUCGCAUGCGGUUUCUUAAGUCUGAUGUGAAAGCCCCCGGCUCAACCGGGGAGGGUCAUUGGAAACUGGGAAACUUGAGUGCAGAAGAGGAGAGUGGAAUUCCACGUGUAGCGGUGAAAUGCGUAGAGAUGUGGAGGAACACCAGUGGCGAAGGCGACUCUCUGGUCUGUAACUGACGCUGAGGAGCGAAAGCGUGGGGAGCGAACAGGAUUAGAUACCCGCGUAGUCCCUGUCUCUUAUAC
RNAcentral lists this ribosomal RNA (301 nucleotides) under uncultured bacterium. RNAcentral describes it as "partial 16S ribosomal RNA". It matches the Rfam family "Bacterial small subunit ribosomal RNA", at positions 509 to 807 of the family's 1533-position model. The record is from RNAcentral.